UACGUAGGGACCGAGCGUUGUCCGGAAUCAUUGGGCGUAAAGAGCGUGUAGGCGGCUCGCUAAGUCUUGCGUGAAAUCUCGAGGCUCAACCCCAAACGGUCGUGAGAAACUAACAGGCUAGAGUGCGGGAGAGGAGAGUGGAAUUCCCGGUGUAGCGGUGAAAUGCGCAGAUAUCGGGAGGAACACCGGUGGCGAAGGCGGUUCUCUGGGCCUGACCUGACGCUGAGGAGCGAAAGCGUGGGGAGCGAACAGG
Molecule: ribosomal RNA, 253 nt
Filed under: uncultured bacterium
Lineage: Bacteria
Description: partial 16S ribosomal RNA
Rfam family: Bacterial small subunit ribosomal RNA
Source: RNAcentral